UGAAGGUCUGGAAAAUGCCAUGCAUAAAUGGGCACAUUCAACCAGAACGGAGCCUAUUACAUUUUCUCCGCCUCGGUAUUUAAAAUAUAUAAUAGUUUCGAAAAUAAACUAUCUUCAUUUUGUCCCCUCACAAUGAUUAGACAGGUCGUAUUCAUUUGCUUACUAGCGACAACUAGCACCGGAUUUGUACAGGGCCAUAUAUACAAGCCGCUUUUUUGUGAGGAAACCAAUGCAAAUAUAACCAGAUCUUCGCUUCUCGCCUAUUGUGUGAAUCAGAACGAAUGCUUCAUUAACAGACCAGUAGGUCUUUGCCCCAAAGGUGAAGUGUGUUGCGUGAAAAAACAAGAUUUUAACAUUGACGAGGUUGAAUUUAUGGAGAAUUAAACUUGCUGGAAAGAAAUUAUAAAGCUCA
RNAcentral lists this small RNA (412 nucleotides) under Drosophila yakuba. Its description in RNAcentral is "GE28130". The record is from RNAcentral. Lineage: Eukaryota; Metazoa; Arthropoda; Insecta; Diptera; Drosophilidae.